This 216-nucleotide long non-coding RNA is filed under the name Elaeis guineensis (African oil palm). Its description in RNAcentral is "long non-coding RNA (EGUI_LNC037738)". Lineage: Eukaryota; Viridiplantae; Streptophyta; Magnoliopsida; Arecales; Arecaceae. The record is from RNAcentral.
AUCUGACGGUUCUGGUGACUCUCGAUUUUGAUCUAAUGGCUGAGGAAGCUGGCGGUGAUCUGGAAAAUUUGAUCGGGAGCGAUCAAGCGGCUUAGAAGGCUUGCAGCAUGGAUCGCACGGUUCAGAUGCUUCUGGAGUCUGAUUCCAAUAUAGUUUGGGUUUUGGGGCUAUAAAUAGUCCUGUGGAUGAAACAGAGAGUGGAACCAAGGUAGCGGC